RNAcentral lists this ribosomal RNA (465 nucleotides) under Vreelandella stevensii. Its description in RNAcentral is "partial 16S ribosomal RNA". It matches the Rfam family "Bacterial small subunit ribosomal RNA", at positions 338 to 795 of the family's 1533-position model. Lineage: Bacteria; Pseudomonadati; Pseudomonadota; Gammaproteobacteria; Oceanospirillales; Halomonadaceae. The record is from RNAcentral.
CCUACGGGUGGCAGCAGUGGGGAAUAUUGGACAAUGGGGGCAACCCUGAUCCAGCCAUGCCGCGUGUGUGAAGAAGGCCCUCGGGUUGUAAAGCACUUUCAGUGAGGAAGAACGCCUGGUGGUUAAUACCCAUCAGGAAAGACAUCACUCACAGAAGAAGCACCGGCUAACUCCGUGCCAGCAGCCGCGGUAAUACGGAGGGUGCGAGCGUUAAUCGGAAUUACUGGGCGUAAAGCGCGCGUAGGUGGCUUGAUAAGCCGGUUGUGAAAGCCCCGGGCUCAACCUGGGAACGGCAUCCGGAACUGUCAAGCUAGAGUGCAGGAGAGGAAGGUAGAAUUCCCGGUGUAGCGGUGAAAUGCGUAGAGAUCGGGAGGAAUACCAGUGGCGAAGGCGGCCUUCUGGACUGACACAGACACUGAGGUGCGAAAGCGUGGGUAGCAAACAGGAUUAGAUACCCUAGUAGUC